Molecule: ribosomal RNA, 241 nt
Filed under: uncultured Glomus
Lineage: Eukaryota; Fungi; Glomeromycota; Glomeromycetes; Glomerales; Glomeraceae
Description: partial 18S ribosomal RNA
Rfam family: Eukaryotic small subunit ribosomal RNA
Source: RNAcentral
AGCAGCCGCGGUAAUUCCAGCUCCAAUAGCGUAUAUUAAAGUUGUUGCAGUUAAAAAGCUCGUAGUUGAAUUUCGGGGCUAGUAGAUUGGUCGUGCCAUUGGUACGUACUGGUCUUACUGAUUCCUCCUUCCUGAUGAACCGUAAUGCCAUUAAUUUGGUGUUGCGGGGAAACUGGACUGUUACUUUGAAAAAAUUAGAGUGUUUAAAGCAGGCUAACGCUUGAAUACAUUAGCAUGGAAU